AAAAUUGUAUCUUAUCCAUUUACUCGUGUAUCCAAUCUCCCGCCCACUCUCUCUCCCCUCUUCACAACGUAAAAAAACCCUCUCCCACCACACACCAUUGAGCCAUAACCCGUAAAAACAGAGGAAGCAACCAGAAAGAAUAAUAGGAAAUCAAGUCCUCACACAACCGAACCAGCAAGAACGAAGAUAAAAUCAAGGCCCGAACGAAUCGCUGCUUCCAUAUCCACCCUAUUCACUACAAAAAGGUCGACAACGAGCCAUUGAUUACAUCGAUUAAGGUAUAUUUCACAGCACUUUUAAAAAUUGCAAAUGUAUGAUCUUCGAUGUGAGUGUAUUUAGUUUCAAAUUCUAAAAAUUGUGCCUGUAUUUAUCAAAUUGCUCUACUUGUUUCUCCUCUCCAAAAAAUAUGUAAAAAUCGGUGAGGUUUCUUAUUCCUGUUGUCGGGGUGGGGGUAGGUUUUAUUUUAUUCAAAGAAAACUUGCAUUUGUCUGAAAAUUUUCUUCAUAAUUGUUUUACGUUUCUUGGAGUUUAAAUUUUCAAGUUACGAAGUCUGUAUCUCGAUUGAAAUGGAUCGAAUUACCUUCAAAUUUGACGGUUAAUUUUUAUUUUUUAUUUUUUAUUUUUUUUGGUUUUUGAAGCCAUAAAAUAUUGGGAUCAAAAGAACUGGAAGAAAGAAUACCAAAACUAAUAUAUGAUUGAGAGUUUCCAUAAAAUAUGGUAAAAUGAAAAGGUGAAGAUUAGUUAAACGAAUGUCGUUUUAGCAGUACGGGGAUGGGGGUUGAAUUCUUGUCCUUAUCCAGGUUUGGAAUAAAUAAUUCUUCCUUUUAAUUUCUGUUCACUUUAAUUUUGGGUGAAAUGGGUAAAUCUAGUAUAGAAUUACAGUACUCACAUUGAAAGAUCAAGAACAUUUGCCGUCCGAAAGAUAGAUGUUUAAGAGAGGGAGAGAGAGAAAUAUUUAUUCAAAGAGGUGGGUUGGCGUAGGAAAUGAUGGUCCGCUAGCUCUAACGUAGCUCUGCCUCCACCGCUUAAAUGCUGGUUAGUUUGUAAAUUUGCUUAAUGUUAUAAUAAAAUUAACUAGUUUGUAUUAAAGUGACAACUUUCUAAAAAAUUAUGCUGCUAAAGGGAAUGUUAAGGAGCUUGUUGACAACUCUCUAGUUUUAUUUUAUGCCAGUCAGGUUUCCUCAAUUAAAUCAUAGGGAGUAACUGUUAAAAGGAGAAUUUAUUGACAGAACUAAGGAGCUUGUUGCAUUAUCUGGAGCUCAUACUCUUGGAAGCAAAGGUUUUGGAAAUCGCGUUGUUUUCGACAAUUCGUACUACAAAAUUCUCCUAGAGAAGCCAUGGUUGUCUUCAGGUGCUUCACAAGUUUCUUUCUUUUGCCAUCUUGUUUUAAAUCCCAUCCAAUCAUUCCAAGUGAUUUACCAAAUAAGCAGAUGGUUCAUGUCUCCAAGCAACUGCUCAUAACCAAUAACGUCUCAGAGAGAAAUUUCUUAAAAUUAUAGCUAAAAGUGUUGGAGUUUGGUCUGAAUCCAGAAAGGGAAAAUGGCACUUGUAGUUCCAUGUCCCACUAUUGUUUUAAAGAGUUUGCAACAUCCCCCUUUCCCAUGAGUUACUUGCUAACUUUCUUAUUAUUGGAUUUAACUCAAGGGAAUGUUCAGGAGCUAUUGAUGCUCCUUUAGGAUGUCAUGGUUCAUUUCUAUCUAGAGGUUCCAAACAGUGUUGGUUUAUCAUAGCAUCUAGACAUUUGCAAUUUAAUUCAGCAACCACAUGGAGAUGCUUCAUUUGACAGAGCAACAAAUAUGCUGGCAGUUUGAAAAUAGCUUAAUGCUAAUACCAUUUUGUGUAUUUUUGAUAGCAUUAUGUUAAACCAAUUUUCCACUGCAAAUUCAUUAUACAGUUUAUAUAAUCGUCAUCAAGCUUCUUCUUGUCAUCAUGUCUAAUUAUAACAAGUAAUUUAUAUGUUAAUUUUAUAUAAUUUUUAUUUGCC
This 1984-nucleotide long non-coding RNA is filed under the name Olea europaea subsp. europaea. Lineage: Eukaryota; Viridiplantae; Streptophyta; Magnoliopsida; Lamiales; Oleaceae. The record is from RNAcentral.